UACGACGGGGGCUAGCGUUGCUCGGAAUCACUGGGCGUAAAGCGCACGUAGGCGGCUUCUUAAGUCAGGGGUGAAAUCCUGGAGCUCAACUCCAGAACUGCCUUUGAUACAGCACGUCUUGAGUCCGGAAGAGGUGGGUGGAAUUCCUAGUGUAGAGGUGAAAUUCGUAGAUAUUAGGAAGAACACCGGUGGCGAAGGCGGCCCACUGGUCCGGUACUGACGCUGAGGUGCGAAAGCGUGGGGAGCAAACAGG
Molecule: ribosomal RNA, 253 nt
Filed under: uncultured bacterium
Lineage: Bacteria
Description: partial 16S ribosomal RNA
Rfam family: Bacterial small subunit ribosomal RNA
Source: RNAcentral